Molecule: unclassified non-coding RNA, 343 nt
Filed under: Hevea brasiliensis (rubber tree)
Lineage: Eukaryota; Viridiplantae; Streptophyta; Magnoliopsida; Malpighiales; Euphorbiaceae
Source: RNAcentral
CAAAUUGGCGAUAUGCAGAUUCUGAGAGACGGUUUCAGCAUGUUUUGGAAGCUUGUGGUGUGUAUAAGUCUCUCACAAAGAUGGGUGUCAAGGAGGGUGACACAGUGGUUGUUGGAGAGAUGGAAAUGGUGUGGCAUGAUUCUCCUGGGGGCGCUGGUCCAUCGAAUAUGAAGAAAAGAUUUGAUCCAACGAAAUGGCCUCAGUUGAUGUAAUCCUCUUAUUUUUGGUUGAUCUCAGAAGGAUAGAUACAGCAGCCAAAAGUGUUAAAGCAAAGGCAUAUGAGCUUGUCCUCCAGCGUGCCUGAUGAUGCUACUUGAUGCAAAGAGAUUUCUCAUGCGCUGCA